UAUCUCUGUAGAGUCUGCAUAUCAAUAAGCGGAGGAAAAGAAACUAACAAGGAUUCCCUUAGUAACGGCGAGUGAAGCGGGAAGAGCUCAAAUUUGAAAUCUUCAAGGUUUUACCUUGACGAAUUGUAGUUUAAAGAAGUGUUUUCUGUUGAAGUUUCGGUAAAAGUUCUUUGGAAUAGGACAUCAUAGAGGGUGAGAAUCCCGUAUUUGACCGUUAUUUUCAGCUGUGUGAUACACUUUCUAAGAGUCGGAUUGUUUGGGAAUGCAGUCCAAAAUGGGUGGUAAAUUUCAUCUAAAGCUAAAUAUUGGCGAGAGACCGAUAGCGAACAAGUACCGUGAGGGAAAGAUGAAAAGAACUUUGAAAAGAGAGUUAAACAGUACGUGAAAUUGUCAAAAGGGAAGCGUUUGACACCAGUGUUGUUUUCUCGAAAAUCAAUUAAAAAUGGCUUGAUUUUGUGUUGUAUUGACCUUAAAAGCUUUCUUCACUUUUUUCAUGUCUUUUUUAAUGCACUUUUCGUUUAACAAGUCAACAUCAGUUUCUUUUGUUGUAAAAAGGUCAUUGGAAGGUGGCUUUCUUUUCGGAGAAAGUGUUUAUAGCCUUUGACUCUGCAAUCGGAGAGACUGAGGUCUGCAGCGUAGAUCCUUCUUGGAUUAGAUUCAUUUGUGCUAAGUUAUAGCUUUUAUAGACAACAUGUUGACUAUAGUUUAGUCAUGUAGCUUACUCGCUUAUGUAAUUUUACCUACGCUUAGGAUGUUGAUCUCUCACAGUCGAGC
Molecule: ribosomal RNA, 774 nt
Filed under: uncultured Neocallimastigales
Lineage: Eukaryota; Fungi; Neocallimastigomycota; Neocallimastigomycetes; Neocallimastigales
Description: partial large subunit ribosomal RNA
Rfam family: Eukaryotic large subunit ribosomal RNA
Source: RNAcentral